GAAUAUUGGACAAUGGGGGCAACCCUGAUCCAGCCAUGCCGCGUGUGUGAAGAAGGCCUUUUGGUUGUAAAGCACUUUAAGCAGUGAAGAAGACUCCGUGGUUAAUACCCACGGACGAUGACAUUAGCUGCAGAAUAAGCACCGGCUAACUCUGUGCCAGCAUCCGCGGUAAUACAGAGGGUGCAAGCGUUAAUCGGAAUUACUGGGCGUAAAGCGAGCGUAGGUGGCUUGAUAAGUCAGAUGUGAAAUCCCCGGGCUUAACCUGGGAACUGCAUCUGAAACUGUUAGGCUAGAGUAGGUGAGAGGGAGGUAGAAUUUCAGGUGUAGCGGUGAAAUGCGUAGAGAUCUGAAGGAAUACCGAUGGCGAAGGCAGCCUCCUGGCAUCAUACUGACACUGAGGCUCGAAAGCGUGGGUAGCAAACAG
RNAcentral lists this ribosomal RNA (424 nucleotides) under uncultured bacterium. RNAcentral's name for it is "bacterial SSU rRNA". It matches the Rfam family "Bacterial small subunit ribosomal RNA", at positions 359 to 775 of the family's 1533-position model. The record is from RNAcentral.